This 445-nucleotide ribosomal RNA is filed under the name uncultured bacterium. RNAcentral's name for it is "bacterial SSU rRNA". It matches the Rfam family "Bacterial small subunit ribosomal RNA", at positions 8 to 441 of the family's 1533-position model. The record is from RNAcentral.
AGAGUUUGAUCCUGGCUCAGGACGAACGCUGGCGGCGUGCCUAAUACAUGCAAGUCGAGCGGACCGAUUGAAAGCUUGCUUUCAUGAGGUCAGCGGCGGACGCCUGAGUAACACGUGGGUAACCUGCCCUAUAGACCGGGAUAACUCCGCGGAAACGCGAGCUAAUACCGGAUAACACCCCGGAGCGCAUGCUCCGGGGUUGAAAGGCGGCUUUGCUGCCACUAUGGGAUGGGCCCGCGGCGCAUUAGCUAGUUGGUGGGGUAACGGCCUACCAAGGCGACGAUGCGUAGCCGACCUGAGAGGGUGAUCGGCCACACUGGGACUGAGACACGGCCCAGACUCCUACGGGAGGCAGCAGUAGGGAAUCUUCCACAAUGGGCGAAAGCCUGAUGGAGCAACGCCGCGUGAGCGAAGAAGGUCUUCGGAUCGUAAAGCUCUGUUGUAA